Molecule: unclassified non-coding RNA, 357 nt
Filed under: soil metagenome
Description: partial contains 5.8S ribosomal RNA, internal transcribed spacer 2, and large subunit ribosomal RNA
Rfam family: 5.8S ribosomal RNA (bases 5-119)
Source: RNAcentral
GAUGAGAACGCAGCGAAAUGCGAUAAGUAAUGUGAAUUGCAGAAUUCAGUGAAUCAUCGAAUCUUUGAACGCACAUUGCGCCCGUCAGUAUUCUGGCGGGCAUGCCUGUUCGAGCGUCAUUACGCCCCUCAAGUCCCCUGUGGACUUGGUGUUGGGGAUCGGCGAGGCUGGUUUUCCAGCACAGCCGUCCCUUAAAUUAAUUGGCGGUCUCGCCGUGGCCCUCCUCUGCGCAGUAGUAAAACACUCGCAACAGGAGCCCGGCGCGGUCCACUGCCGUAAAACCCCCCAACUGUUUAUAGUUGACCUCGAAUCAGGUAGGACUACCCGCUGAACUUAAGCAUAUCAAUAAGCGGAGGA